GAAUUCGCCCUUAGAGUUUGAUCCUGGCUCAGAUUGAACGCUGGCGGCAGGCCUAACACAUGCAAGUCGAACGGUAACAGGAAGCAGCUUGCUGCUUCGCUGACGAGUGGCGGACGGGUGAGUAAUGUCUGGGAAACUGCCUGAUGGAGGGGGAUAACUACUGGAAACGGUAGCUAAUACCGCAUAACGUCGCAAGACCAAAGAGGGGGACCUUCGGGCCUCUUGCCAUCGGAUGUGCUCAGAUGGGAUUAGCUAGUAGGUGGGGUAACGGCUCACCUAGGCGACGAUCCCUAGCUGGUCUGAGAGGAUGACCAGCCACACUGGAACUGAGACACGGUCCAGACUCCUACGGGAGGCAGCAGUGGGGAAUAUUGCACAAUGGAGGAAACUCUGAUGCAGCAACGCCGCGUGAGCGAUGAAGGUCUUCGGAUCGUAAAGCUCUGUCUUUAGGGAUGAUAAUGACAGUACCUAAGGAGGAAGCCACGGCUAACUACGUGCCAGCAGCCGCGGUAAUACGUAGGUGGCGAGCGUUAUCCGGAUUUAUUGGGCGUAAAGGGAGCGUAGGCGGAUACUUAAGUGGGAUGUGAAAUACUUGGGCUCAACCCGAGUACUGCAUUCCAAACUGAGUAUCUAGAGUGCAGGAGAGGAGAGUGGAAUUCCUAGUGUAGCGGUGAAAUGCGUAGAGAUUAGGAAGAACACCAGUGGCGAAGGCGACUCUCUGGACUGUAACUGACGCUGAGGCUCGAAAGCGUGGGGAGCGAACAGGAUUAGAUACCCUGGUAGUCCACGCCGUAAACGAUGAAUACUAGGUGUAGGGGUUUCCAUACCUCUGUGCCGCCGCUAACGCAUUAAGUAUUCCGCCUGGGGAGUACGGUCGCAAGAUUAAAACUCAAAGGAAUUGACGGGGACCCGCACAAGCAGCGGAGCAUGUGGUUUAAUUCGAAGCAACGCGAAGAACCUUACCUACACUUGACAUCCCUUGCAUUACCCUUAAUCGGGGAAAUCUCUUCGGAGACAAGGUGACAGGUGGUGCAUGGUUGUCGUCAGCUCGUGUCGUGAGAUGUUGGGUUAAGUCCCGCAACGAGCGCAACCCCUAUUGUUAGUUGCUACCAUUAAGUUGAGCACUCUAGCGAGACUGCCUGGGUUAACCAGGAGGAAGGUGGGGACGACGUCAAAUCAUCAUGCCCCUUAUGUGUAGGGCUACACACGUGCUACAAUGGCAGGUACAGAGAGACGCAAGACCGUGAGGUGGAGCAAAUCCCACAAAACCUGUCCCAGUUCGGAUUGAAGGCUGAAACUCGCCUUCAUGAAGCCGGAGUUGCUAGUAAUCGCGAAUCAGAAUGUCGCGGUGAAUACGUUCCCGGGUCUUGCACACACCGCCCGUCA
This 1386-nucleotide ribosomal RNA is filed under the name uncultured bacterium. RNAcentral describes it as "bacterial SSU rRNA". It matches the Rfam family "Bacterial small subunit ribosomal RNA". The record is from RNAcentral.